This 1418-nucleotide long non-coding RNA is filed under the name Theobroma cacao (cacao). RNAcentral describes it as "long non-coding RNA (TCAC_LNC004976)". Lineage: Eukaryota; Viridiplantae; Streptophyta; Magnoliopsida; Malvales; Malvaceae. The record is from RNAcentral.
CGGACGAGGUAAGAUAUAACGAGGUUUACCAUGCCCCUCUAAAUAGGCUGGUCCACAGAAAUCCGCCCACUACAGUAAGCUAAUUGAUAUCCCACCAAAUCAAUAAAAUUCCAAUAGCAUGACAUGGCAAUUAUUUUACAACACAACAUGUCAAGGCAAAACAACGGUUCACAUAUGUUUAGCAUAAUUACCAAUCCAGCCACUCAUGCCCACAUUAUCAUAAGCCAUUCUAUUCAAACCAUAAUUUACAACACAGCAAGUAGUCUCCAAUUACUCCAUUUUCAAACCAUCAUUUAAUUUCAAAACAAUUUUAUAAAAUCAUUUCAUUUAAUCACAGUUUGCUUAUAAAACAUAAAGAUUUACCAUUUAAACUCAUUUUCCAUAAAAUCACAAAAACGAAUUAAAAUUCACUUCAGAUAAUCAAGAUCAUGAUAAGAUUAAUCACUGUAAUGGGAAUCGAAUUUCGAGUACUUCGAUUUUUGAUCCUCGGGUACAUCUCUUUACUUUUGCCAGAAUGCUCACCACCUAGACAUAAUGCACAAUAAGUCAUUUACUACAUUUACGCUGAUUUGUUAUAAAACUAAUUCAUGCUCUAUACUAAUGCAUGAAAUGGGAUGUGAAAUACUCGGGUAACUAUCUAAAUACGGUGUUCAAUAUAAAUUCAAUUAUGUACCUAAAUAAAAUGGUAUUGGUCUAAUUCGAUCGAUCACCCAAUUAAUUGGCUAAUACGUCCAAUUCAACUCCAAACAAUUCCAUUUCUCUCCCAAUACUCCAAAUCAUUAAACACAAUUUAAAUAACUUGAAAUGUGGCAAAAUCAUCCUCACAUUUUCUCUUGAAAAAUUCGGACAUGGUGAGUGGACUAACAAUAUAAUUUUUCAUGUUUGAUUCUCACACCAUAAAUCAUUCAUUCCUAAUCAAAUCACUUGAAUAAAAUCAAGUCCACCAUCAACACACCAUAGGGAAGAUUCGGCCAAUGGAAGGUGAUGGAAGAAAAUGAAUUUUUCUUGUUUGUUUUUCAUGUUACACAUCACUAACUAACUAAAUACACUAGAAUAUAUUGAAAUCUAACCAAAUCCAAGUUCAAAACUCCUCCCCCCAUGUCCGGCCAGCAAGGGUAUCCUCAUGCAAACUUGAUUCUCAAUCAUGAAAAGUGAAAAAGAAUGCAUAGGAAAGGUAGAUCAUAAGCUAGAAUUGAAAAAUCUUACCUUUUGUCACUUGAUUCUUUGAAAUUUUGUGAAUUUCUGUUGAAUUUCUUAGCUAGCUUUUUGUUCUUCUUCUUUUCUUCCCUUUUCUUCCUUUGGCCGACCAAGAGAAAUGAGUUGGGAGGGUUAUGGGCUGAUUUUUAAAGUCAAAUAAUAAAAUAAUCCAAGUUUGACACUUGUCACAAUGUUAUUGGUCCAUAUUUAAAAACUUAAUA